RNAcentral lists this ribosomal RNA (432 nucleotides) under uncultured archaeon. RNAcentral's name for it is "bacterial SSU rRNA". It matches the Rfam family "Archaeal small subunit ribosomal RNA", at positions 474 to 904 of the family's 1478-position model. The record is from RNAcentral.
UACCUGCAGCUCGAGUGGUAACCGCUACUAUUGGGCCUAAAGCGUCCGUAGCCGGUUUGGUAAAUAUCUGGGUAAAUCGUGAGGCUUAACUUCACGAAUUUCGGAUAGACUGCCAGACUUGGGAUCGGGGGAGGUCAGAGGUACUCCAGGGGUAGCGGUGAAAUGUUGUAAUCCUCGGAGGACCACCGGUAGCGAAGGCGUCUGACUAGAACGAGUCCGACGGUGAGGGACGAAGCCCUGGGGCGCAAACCGGAUUAGAUACCCGGGUAGUCCAGGGUGUAAACGAUGUGGGCUUUGUAUUGGAGGUCCCACGUGGGCGUCCAGUGCAGAAGAGAAGUUGUUAAAGCCCACCGCCUGGGAAGUACGGUCGCAAGGCUGAAACUUAAAGGAAUUGGCGGGGGAGCACAGCAAACGGGAGGAGCGUGCGGUUUA